AUUGAACGCUGGCGGUAGGCCUAACACAUGCAAGUCGAACGAGUGGCGGACGGGUGAGUAAUGUCUGGGAAACUGCCUGAUGGAGGGGGAUAACUACUGGAAACAGUAGCUAAUACCGCAUACCAUCGGAUGUGCCCACAUGUGAUUAGCUUGUUGGUAGGGUAACGGCUCACCAAGGCGACGAUCCCUAGCUGGUGUGAGAGGAUGACCAGCCACAUUGGAACUGAGACACGGGCCAGACUCCUACGGGAGGCAGCAGUGGGGAAUAUUGCACAAUGGGCGCAAGCCUGAUGCAGCCAUGCCGCGUGUAUGAAGAAGGCCUUCGGUUUGUAAAGUACUUUCAGCGGGGAAGCGUUACCCGCAGAAGAAGCACCGGCUAACUCCGUGCCAGCAGCCGCGGUAAUUC
This 406-nucleotide ribosomal RNA is filed under the name uncultured bacterium. Its description in RNAcentral is "partial 16S ribosomal RNA". It matches the Rfam family "Bacterial small subunit ribosomal RNA", at positions 30 to 526 of the family's 1533-position model. The record is from RNAcentral.